RNAcentral lists this ribosomal RNA (454 nucleotides) under uncultured bacterium. RNAcentral's name for it is "bacterial SSU rRNA". It matches the Rfam family "Bacterial small subunit ribosomal RNA", at positions 349 to 793 of the family's 1533-position model. The record is from RNAcentral.
CAGCAGUGGGGAAUAUUGCACAAUGGGCGCAAGCCUGAUGCAGCCAUGCCGCGUGUAUGAAGAAGGCCUUCGGGUUGUAAAGUACUUUCAGCAGUGAGGAAGGUGGGAUAUGUUAAUAGCAUAUUCAUUUGACGUUAGCUGCAGAAGAAGCACCGGCUAACUCCGUGCCAGCAGCCGCGGUAAUACGGAGGGUGCGAGCGUUAAUCGGAAUUACUGGGCGUAAAGCGCAUGCAGGUGGUUUGUUAAGUCAGAUGUGAAAGCCCGGGGCUCAACCUCGGAAUUGCAUUUGAAACUGGCAAACUAGAGUACUGUAGAGGGGGGUAGGAAUUUCAGGUGUAGCGGUGAAAUGCGUAGAGAUCUGAAGGAAUACCGGUGGCGAAGGCGGCCCCCUGGACAGAUACUGACACUCAGAUGCGAAAGCGUGGGGAGCAAACAGGAUUAGAUACCCUGGUAG